This 528-nucleotide ribosomal RNA is filed under the name uncultured bacterium. Its description in RNAcentral is "bacterial SSU rRNA". It matches the Rfam family "Bacterial small subunit ribosomal RNA", at positions 9 to 524 of the family's 1533-position model. The record is from RNAcentral.
GAGUUUGAUCGUGGCUUAGGACGAACGCUGGCGGCGCGCUUAACACAUGCAAGUCGAGCGAGAACCUGGCCUUCGGGCCUGGGGAAAGCGGCGAACGGGUGAGUAACACGUGGGUAACCCACCCUUGGUACCGGGAUAGCCCGGGGAAACCCGGAUUAAUACCGGAUGGCCCAACAGCUCUUCGGGGCGGUUGGAAAAGGUAGCUUCGGCCUCCGACCAAGGACGGGCCCGCGGCGGAUUAGCUUGUUGGUGGGGUAACGGCCUACCAAGGCGACGAUCCGUAGCUGGUCUGAGAGGACGAUCAGCCACACUGGGACUGAGACACGGCCCAGACUCCUACGGGAGGCAGCAGUGGGGAAUCUUGCGCAAUGGGCGAAAGCCUGACGCAGCGACGCCGCGUGGGGGAAGAAGGCUUUCGGGUUGUAAACCCCUUUCAGGAAGGACGAAGCUACUCGGGUUAAUAGCCCAGAGGGUGACGGUACUUCCAGAAGAAGCCCCGGCUAACUACGUGCCAGCCGCCGCCGUAAU